UCAGAGUUCUGCAGUCCCACGAUCUUCAUGAGUGGAAUGUGUGCUUCUAAGGGAGGUUUUGGAUAAAGGCCAGGUGCUGGGAACAUCUGUCGGAACAUCCCGACCGCUGGCAGAGCUUCUGCUUGGAGCUCAGCUAAAAACUUCGUGUGACCAGGCAGGUGUCUGUUCCUGUAUACAGCCCCCUCAGCUCUGUAAUUGUGGUGUUAACACUUUACCUCCACACUUGCCUGGUGCCAGGGUGGAUGAAAACAAAGUGUGUUUGCUUGAGGAAGACCCUUUUCCAAGCUGGACAUUUUAUCUUCUUUUAGUGCAACUGAAAAACAGGUGUGGUGUUCUUCACCCAAGGAGUUUGUUUCUAGACAGAGUAAGAUCCACCACUGCUAAGUGUAGCUGUUGUGCACCUGCACAAUUUUUUCCCGAAACUGUGGGGCGUCAGAGAUGAAGUCCUGUUCAUAGGUCAUCCAUAAGGGAAACUGGAUGUUAAAUUCUAAACUUCUAACUAGAGUAACAUUUUACUUCUUAAUUUCAUGCCAGAGGUUAGGUCUAGUCUUGAAAGCACCUCCUGUGCAAUGUAGAACUGAGCCCAGAGAAAGGAAAUGAAAUCAGAAAUGGAGAAAAGUUAUUUUAAUCAUAAAUAGUUGUGGUAGAAAGGUAGAUGUUUAUAUGUGCAAUAGUACAGUACCUACUGUGUGUAUUUUAGGAGAACCUGAGAAUAGCAGCUGCGCUGAAAUACUUGACAGUGAAGUCAAAUAUAGUUUAGGUUAAAAAAAAAAGUCUCUGGGGAGGGUGGAUUUUGCAGCGUGAAACCUGUCAGUGUUAUCUCUGCCGCGUGGCACAGAACAGCCUGUGACUCUGGCGCUUGUUUGCGAACGUGCAGUUCCUGUAAUGGGAUACGUCCCCUUCCUAUCAGUGUGGUAUUGUGCCUGGGUAAACCUCCCUGCCUCCCAAAUUUUCCCGAGAACCACAUUAGGCUGACAGCCUUGUUUCUGCAAAGGCUUCCUUUUCUGAGGUGUCACUGAUUUUGCAGCUGAUGGACCUGUUGAAUUUUAGAUCUACAGGGCUCAGAAGAAGCAAAGCUGCUGGCACUAAAACUAGAGCUCUUGCUAAUGUGUUGAGGUCAAAAGGAUCAAAACCUAAAUUAAGUUUGUUCCUGAAAUUUGGCUGUGAAUCACAAAUUCAGGAAGUUGUACAUGAAAAUCAGUCUAGGUAGUGUUUCUUAAGAGAUCUUCAGCUAAAAAUAAUGUAUUGUGCUAUAGUUAUAAAUAAUAUGGGUUGGGUUUUUUUUUCUUCCCCUGUCUAAUUAAAUUGUUACUCUUGCCACAACGAAAGGAAAGGGAAAAGAUAAUAACAUGAAUCUGGUUGAACAAGUACGUAGCUUGCAGGUUUCAGCUAGAGUGUUUGCAGCUGCAGCUGGUGCUGAACCUUACACUCAUGCAUUUAAUUGUCAAAAUGAAAAUAGGGUGCUCUGGAGAGAUCAACAGUGGUUUCUGUGUGUCCAUCAUUUGGGAAACCCUUCUGAAAGCUCACCCAAAGUGGGUUUCUCCUGCACUGUCAAAAAACAGAAGAAAAGAAUUUUUUUUCUUCUUCCUUCCCCCUCCCCGACCUCCCCGCAGGUAACUGCAGUGGUUUUUGUAAAAUUGUGGUUGAACUGCAUGGUAGGGUGUUUUGAUGGACUCUGGUGUCCUAUUAAAGUGAGAAACAGUGGUCACAGAUAGCUCUGCCAUUUUAGAGUGACACUUUGGCAGGUUUGCUGCAGGUAAAUAGUGGAUAAAGCUGGAAAAAAGAACUUUUCUGCCUCUUGGCCAUGGUACUGAGAUGCUCUUUGAAAGCCAAGUGGGCAACCUGGCCAUGGCCAUCUGCCUACUAAACAGUAGGGAUGGCCAGCAGCCUGGCAAGACAGUAUUUAUCACACCUAUUGCUGCUGCUGCAUUAGUGUCCAGGAAAGUUUUGUGUAUUUUGCUGCUUAGGCUUGUCAGUGGCUGCUGGGGCCUUUUAACAGUGUUCAGGGUUUGUGGUGGAUUCUGGGGACCAUGGGAGAGGUCAUUAACAAGGUUCGGCUCCUUGGAGAGCAACGAUAAUGGCCAGUGAAAGCGGUAAUCCCAGAAACCUAAGGGGAUAAUGACAGGCAAUAACAUGGCUGCCAAACUUUAAGCUUAAUCACAACAUCUUUCAGGUGUUCAGAGAGUUAUUUUUCUCAAAGAAGGCCAUGGUGAGGGAAAAAGAAGGGUUAUACAAAGCAGGGUACCACAGAGAAACUGGCCUGUGUGGGUGAUAGAGCUGGGCACAGGCUCAGAGAUUUAUUGCGCUGAAAUUUGCUGUCACUCAAAAAAAAA
Neopelma chrysocephalum (saffron-crested tyrant-manakin) is the source of this 2333-nucleotide long non-coding RNA. RefSeq lists it as uncharacterized. The transcript has 4 exons. The record is from RefSeq and is a predicted model, not a curated record. NCBI's taxonomy places the organism in Eukaryota, Metazoa, Chordata, Aves, Passeriformes, Pipridae.